AUGAGGCGACGCCACGAGCUGCUGGUUUCGCCGUCUUUUUGCUUGAGCGGCCUCGUGCUGCUGCUCGCGCUCUCUGCUCGGGCUCAGCGGCAGGCGCAGACAGAUCCGUCCGAAGUGGCCGCGCUGAACGCCAUGUUCUCGCGGUGGGGCCUGCGGGCGUCCACGGCGUGGAACAUCAGCGGCGAGCCUUGCAGCGGUGCCGCCGUCGACGACACCGACAUUGAUUCAGACAACAAACUCAAACUGGGCAUUAAGUGCGUCUGCUCCUACAACGUCAGCACCGUCUGCCACAUAACCCAGCUGAAAGUAUAUGCACUAGAUGUGGUUGGUCAGAUUCCUGCGGAACUGCAAAAUCUAACUUACCUGACAAACCUGAAUUUAGCGCAGAAUUACUUAGCUGGAUCUUUACCAGCAUUUCUUGGAAAGUUGACUCGGUUGCAGUAUCUAACUUUGGGAACCAAUGCAUUAACUGGAGUUCUACCGAGGGAGCUGGGUAACCUCGAGAAUCUCGUUGCGAUGGCCAUUAGCACAAAUAAGUUUGUCGGUCCACUCCCUGAAGUAGUAGAAAACUUGAGCAAUCUUGAGCAACUGUAUAUCGAUAGUUGUGGUUUAAGUGGAGAGCUGCCAUCUACCUUUUCCAAACUUAAGAACCUGAAAGUCCUAUGGGCAUCAGAUAACGAGUUUACUGGGAAGAUACCUGAUUAUAUUGGAAGCUUAUCCAAUUUGACGGAUCUGUAA
RNAcentral lists this ribosomal RNA (738 nucleotides) under Triticum aestivum (bread wheat). Its description in RNAcentral is "partial small subunit ribosomal RNA". The record is from RNAcentral. Lineage: Eukaryota; Viridiplantae; Streptophyta; Magnoliopsida; Poales; Poaceae.